Molecule: ribosomal RNA, 410 nt
Filed under: Kodamaea ohmeri
Lineage: Eukaryota; Fungi; Ascomycota; Pichiomycetes; Serinales; Debaryomycetaceae
Description: eukaryotic LSU rRNA
Rfam family: Eukaryotic large subunit ribosomal RNA
Source: RNAcentral
CAAACGGAGGAAAAGAAACCAACAGGGAUUGCCUCAGUAACGGCGAGUGAAGCGGCAAAAGCUCAAAUUUGAAAUCCCCCCGGGGAGUUGUAAUUUGAAGAUUGCGUCUUGGAGGCGACCGUGUCUAUGUUCCUUGGAACAGGACGUCACAGAGGGUGAGAAUCCCGUGCGGCACGGCCCCCGGCUCCUUAUAAGGCGCUCUCGACGAGUCGAGUUGUUUGGGAAUGCAGCUCAAAGUGGGUGGUAAAUUCCAUCUAAAGCUAAAUACAGGCGAGAGACCGAUAGCGAACAAGUACAGUGAUGGAAAGAUGAAAAGCACUUUGAAAAGAGAGUGAAACAGCACGUGAAAUUGUUGAAAGGGAAGGGCAUGCCGUCAGAUUGUCAGUGUGGGUAAGAAGCGGGGUACAAAG